Austrofundulus limnaeus is the source of this 502-nucleotide long non-coding RNA. RefSeq lists it as uncharacterized. NCBI's taxonomy places the organism in Eukaryota, Metazoa, Chordata, Actinopteri, Cyprinodontiformes, Rivulidae. The record is from RefSeq and is a predicted model, not a curated record. The transcript is spliced from 2 exons.
GUCCAGUAGAGAAAACCCAGACAUCCGGCAUCCAGGAGGCAUCCURAUCAGAUGAACCACCUCAACUGACUCGACUCAACUCUGAGAUCCUCCCUGAUUACGGAGCUCCUCACCUUAUCUCUACGGCUGAGCCCAGCCAACUACGAAGGAAGCUCAUUUCAGCAGCUUGUAUCCAGGAUCUGGUUCUUUGGGUCAUGGUCCACACCUCAUGACCACAGCUGAGAAGCACGUGAAGCACAAAGCCAGUUAGGAGCCGUCCAACUUCUGUGAGGACAUGAAGGCAGAGCUGAAGACUGGCAUGAGGGAGUCAAGUUGCCUCAUUACAACUGACAACCCUGAGAACUGAAAAGACCUUGAAUGGCUGACAUGAAUGUGUCAUAAUACAAGUUUGUUCUUGCUGUAGAUGUUAAAAAUAUUUGAAAAGCUAAAAUGCUCUUUCUGUUUUAAUUUUUACAUCUUUAAAUUGGAAUGGACAAUUAAAAACUCUUCUUUUCACAUUUUA